UUCUCCCCGUCCCAGAGAUUGCGACAGCCUCGGUAAAACUGCUGGUACCUAAAGGGACUGUAAGAAAGGGACUGUAGAGAACGGAGGAGUAGUUGAGCUUCUAGACCCGGAAGCUGAUGGACCUGGGAAUAAGUCUCACUGUAAAAGAAGUCCUUUAUAAAGGAAGAAGACUGAAUGAAGGCAAUGCACCCAGGGAGAGAGAUGCUCUUGCUUCCAAAGAAAACGAUGACGAAGUUAAAGGAGAAAAUAAGUUACACGACAGUUUCCAAAAUGGUUCUUGCUUUCUGCUGAAGAUGGGCCGCCGCUGGGUUGUAAUACACUCACGGCCCCAGCUUGUGCUUUACAAGAAGAGGGAAUAUAACUAGACUGGUUAUUUUAGGUUAAAAUAGCCAAGAGACAGACGCUUUCGCCUCAAAAAUAUUCUGAGACACAUAAAAGUAGAAGGAACCAAGUCUCUUCAGUCACAAAAUGUCUUACAUCCAGCACAUACUAGAUUCAAUUAAUUUAAUAAAAUAGAAUAUACAUAGA
Long non-coding RNA from Arvicanthis niloticus (Nile rat), 528 nucleotides. RefSeq lists it as uncharacterized. The record is from RefSeq and is a predicted model, not a curated record. NCBI's taxonomy places the organism in Eukaryota, Metazoa, Chordata, Mammalia, Rodentia, Muridae.